UGCAGCCUGCAACUCGGCUGCAUGAAGCUGGAAUCGCUAGUAAUCGCGGAUCAGAAUGCCGCGGUGAAUACGUUCCCGGGUCUUGUACACACCGCCCGUCACACCAUGGGAGUCGGGAAUGCCCGAAGUCAGUGACCCAACCGGAAAGGGGGGAGCUGCCGAAGGCAGGCCUGGUAACUGGGGUGAAGUCGUAACAAGGUACC
This 203-nucleotide ribosomal RNA is filed under the name uncultured bacterium. Its description in RNAcentral is "partial 16S ribosomal RNA". It matches the Rfam family "Bacterial small subunit ribosomal RNA", at positions 1299 to 1500 of the family's 1533-position model. The record is from RNAcentral.